CAUAGCGACUAUCGUGGCAUAUCAAUAAGCGGAGGAAAAGAAACUAACAAGGAUUCCCCUAGUAACGGCGAGUGAAGCGGGAAGAGCUCAAAUUUGAAAUCUUCAAGGUUUGACCUCGACGAAUUGUAGUUUAAAGAAGUGUUUUCGGUUAGAGGAGUAGUAAAAGUUCUUUGGAAUAGGACAUCAUAGAGGGUGAGAAUCCCGUAUUUGACUAUUCUUUCUAGCUUUGUGAUACACUUUCAAAGAGUCGGAUUGUUUGGGAAUGCAGUCCAAAAUGGGUGGUAAAUUUCAUCUAAAGCUAAAUAUUGGCGAGAGACCGAUAGCGAACAAGUACCGUGAGGGAAAGAUGAAAAGAACUUUGAAAAGAGAGUUAAACAGUACGUGAAAUUGUCAAAAGGGAAGCGUUUGACACCAGUGUUGUUUUUUCCGAAAAUCAAUUAAAAAUUGAUUCAUGCCAGGUUGUAUUGACCUUAUCAGCUUGCAAUUUGGUUUUGGGUCUCUUUUUGAUGCACUUUUCGGUUAACAAGUCAACAUCAAUUUCCUUUGCUGUAAAAAAGGUAAGAGGAAGGUGGCUUCAAUUUCGGGUUGAAGUGUUUAUAGCCUUUGACUUCUGCAAUCGGAGAGAUUGAGGUCUGCAGCGUAGAUCCUUCGGGGUUAGAUACAUUUGUGCUAAGUUAUAGUUUUUCAUAGACAACUUGUUGACUAUGUUUAGUCAUGUAGCUUACUCGUAAGUGCUAUUUUACCUACGCUUAGGAUGUUGAUAUGCAUGACUGAUAU
RNAcentral lists this ribosomal RNA (777 nucleotides) under uncultured Neocallimastigales. RNAcentral describes it as "partial large subunit ribosomal RNA". It matches the Rfam family "Eukaryotic large subunit ribosomal RNA", at positions 22 to 640 of the family's 3401-position model. Lineage: Eukaryota; Fungi; Neocallimastigomycota; Neocallimastigomycetes; Neocallimastigales. The record is from RNAcentral.